RNAcentral lists this ribosomal RNA (2798 nucleotides) under Klebsiella pneumoniae. RNAcentral's name for it is "partial 23S ribosomal RNA". It matches the Rfam family "Bacterial large subunit ribosomal RNA". Lineage: Bacteria; Pseudomonadati; Pseudomonadota; Gammaproteobacteria; Enterobacterales; Enterobacteriaceae. The record is from RNAcentral.
CCGGCGAUGUCCGAAUGGGGAAACCCAGUGCAAUUCGUUGCACUAUCGUUAACUGAAUACAUAGGUUAACGAGGCGAACCGGGGGAACUGAAACAUCUAAGUACCCCGAGGAAAAGAAAUCAACCGAGAUUCCCCCAGUAGCGGCGAGCGAACGGGGAGCAGCCCAGAGUCUGAAUCAGCUUGUGUGUUAGUGGAACGGUCUGGAAAGUCCGACGGUACAGGGUGAUAGUCCCGUACACCAAAAUGCACAGGUUGUGAACUCGAAGAGUAGGGCGGGACACGUGGUAUCCUGUCUGAAUAUGGGGGGACCAUCCUCCAAGGCUAAAUACUCCUGACUGACCGAUAGUGAACCAGUACCGUGAGGGAAAGGCGAAAAGAACCCCGGCGAGGGGAGUGAAAAAGAACCUGAAACCGUGUACGUACAAGCAGUGGGAGCACCUUCGGGUGUGACUGCGUACCUUUUGUAUAAUGGGUCAGCGACUUAUAUUCUGUAGCAAGGUUAACCGUAUAGGGGAGCCGCAGGGAAACCGAGUCUUAACUGGGCGUUAAGUUGCAGGGUAUAGACCCGAAACCCGGUGAUCUAGCCAUGGGCAGGUUGAAGGUUGGGUAACACUAACUGGAGGACCGAACCGACUAAUGUUGAAAAAUUAGCGGAUGACUUGUGGCUGGGGGUGAAAGGCCAAUCAAACCGGGAGAUAGCUGGUUCUCCCCGAAAGCUAUUUAGGUAGCGCCUCGUGAACUCAUCUUCGGGGGUAGAGCACUGUUUCGGCUAGGGGGUCAUCCCGACUUACCAACCCGAUGCAAACUACGAAUACCGAAGAAUGUUAUCACGGGAGACACACGGCGGGUGCUAACGUCCGUCGUGAAGAGGGAAACAACCCAGACCGCCAGCUAAGGUCCCAAAGUCAUGGUUAAGUGGGAAACGAUGUGGGAAGGCACAGACAGCCAGGAUGUUGGCUUAGAAGCAGCCAUCAUUUAAAGAAAGCGUAAUAGCUCACUGGUCGAGUCGGCCUGCGCGGAAGAUGUAACGGGGCUAAACCAUGCACCGAAGCUGCGGCAGCGACACUAUGUGUUGUUGGGUAGGGGAGCGUUCUGUAAGCCUGCGAAGGUGACCUGUGAGGGUUGCUGGAGGUAUCAGAAGUGCGAAUGCUGACAUAAGUAACGAUAAAGCGGGUGAAAAGCCCGCUCGCCGGAAGACCAAGGGUUCCUGUCCAACGUUAAUCGGGGCAGGGUGAGUCGACCCCUAAGGCGAGGCCGAAAGGCGUAGUCGAUGGGAAACAGGUUAAUAUUCCUGUACUUGGUGUUACUGCGAAGGGGGGACGGAGAAGGCUAUGUUAGCCGGGCGACGGUUGUCCCGGUUUAAGCAUGUAGGCUGGUUGUCCAGGCAAAUCCGGAUAAUCAAGGCUGAGGUGUGAUGACGAGGCACUACGGUGCUGAAGUAACAAAUGCCCUGCUUCCAGGAAAAGCCUCUAAGCAUCAGGUAACAUCAAAUCGUACCCCAAACCGACACAGGUGGUCAGGUAGAGAAUACCAAGGCGCUUGAGAGAACUCGGGUGAAGGAACUAGGCAAAAUGGUGCCGUAACUUCGGGAGAAGGCACGCUGGUGUGUAGGUGAAGUCCCUGCGGAUGGAGCUGAGACCAGUCGAAGAUACCAGCUGGCUGCAACUGUUUAUUAAAAACACAGCACUGUGCAAACACGAAAGUGGACGUAUACGGUGUGACGCCUGCCCGGUGCCGGAAGGUUAAUUGAUGGGGUUAUCCGUAAGGAGAAGCUCUUGAUCGAAGCCCCGGUAAACGGCGGCCGUAACUAUAACGGUCCUAAGGUAGCGAAAUUCCUUGUCGGGUAAGUUCCGACCUGCACGAAUGGCGUAAUGAUGGCCAGGCUGUCUCCACCCGAGACUCAGUGAAAUUGAACUCGCUGUGAAGAUGCAGUGUACCCGCGGCAAGACGGAAAGACCCCGUGAACCUUUACUAUAGCUUGACACUGAACAUUGAGCCUUGAUGUGUAGGAUAGGUGGGAGGCUUUGAAGCGUGGACGCCAGUCUGCGUGGAGCCAACCUUGAAAUACCACCCUUUAAUGUUUGAUGUUCUAACGUUGGCCCCUGACCGGGGUUGCGGACAGUGUCUGGUGGGUAGUUUGACUGGGGCGGUCUCCUCCCAAAGCGUAACGGAGGAGCACGAAGGUUAGCUAAUCCUGGUCGGACAUCAGGAGGUUAGUGCAAUGGCAUAAGCUAGCUUGACUGCGAGCGUGACGGCGCGAGCAGGUGCGAAAGCAGGUCAUAGUGAUCCGGUGGUUCUGAAUGGAAGGGCCAUCGCUCAACGGAUAAAAGGUACUCCGGGGAUAACAGGCUGAUACCGCCCAAGAGUUCAUAUCGACGGCGGUGUUUGGCACCUCGAUGUCGGCUCAUCACAUCCUGGGGCUGAAGUAGGUCCCAAGGGUAUGGCUGUUCGCCAUUUAAAGUGGUACGCGAGCUGGGUUUAGAACGUCGUGAGACAGUUCGGUCCCUAUCUGCCGUGGGCGCUGGAGAAUUGAGGGGGGCUGCUCCUAGUACGAGAGGACCGGAGUGGACGCAUCACUGGUGUUCGGGUUGUCAUGCCAAUGGCACUGCCCGGUAGCUAAAUGCGGAAGAGAUAAGUGCUGAAAGCAUCUAAGCACGAAACUUGCCCCGAGAUGAGUUCUCCCUGAGACUUUAAGUCUCCUGAAGGAACGUUGAAGACGACGACGUUGAUAGGCCGGGUGUGUAAGCGCAGCGAUGCGUUGAGCUAACCGGUACUAAUGAACCGUGAGGCUUAACCUU